RNAcentral lists this ribosomal RNA (498 nucleotides) under uncultured bacterium. RNAcentral's name for it is "partial 16S ribosomal RNA". It matches the Rfam family "Bacterial small subunit ribosomal RNA", at positions 28 to 523 of the family's 1533-position model. The record is from RNAcentral.
GAUGAACGCUAGCUACAGGCUUAACACAUGCAAGUCGAGGGGUAGCAGGGUAGCAAUACCGCUGACGACCGGCGCACGGGUGAGUAACACGUAUCCAACCUUCCCAUAACUCGGGGAUAGCCUUUCGAAAGAAAGAUUAAUACCCGAUAGUACUUAUAUAGGGCAUCCUACAUAAGUUAAAGAUUUAUUGGUUAUGGAGGGGGAUGCGUUCCAUUGGGUAGUUGGUGAGGUAACGGCUCACCAAGUCUUCGAUGGAUAGGGGUUCUGAGAGGAAGGUCACCCACAUUGGUACUGAGACACGGAACAAACUCGUGCGGGAGGCAGCAGUGAGGAAUAUUGGUCAAUGGGCGGGAGCCUGAACCAGCCAAGUAGCGUGAAGGAUGAAGGUCCUAUGGAUUGUAAACUUCUUUUAUAGUAGAAUAAAGUGAUCCACGUGUGGAUUUUUGUAUGUAUACUAUGAAUAAGGAUCGGCUAAGUCCGUGCCAGCAGCCGCGGUAA